UAGUGUUCAUCAUGGCGAGCAGAUGGCACCAAGAGAACUGGAGCCCCUGGCCAGUAUGAGUCGUAGCAGUGCAGGAGGGGAGACCCUGGAGGAGAGCCCGCCUAAAUUGAUGUCUGCAGAUGAUUGAAUUUCCAGAGGCUUAGGAGGAAGUUCUCCA
Tupaia belangeri (northern tree shrew) is the source of this 157-nucleotide non-coding RNA. NCBI's taxonomy places the organism in Eukaryota, Metazoa, Chordata, Mammalia, Scandentia, Tupaiidae. The record is from Rfam.